RNAcentral lists this long non-coding RNA (2783 nucleotides) under Paramuricea clavata. Lineage: Eukaryota; Metazoa; Cnidaria; Anthozoa; Malacalcyonacea; Plexauridae. The record is from RNAcentral.
CUUUAAAGCCGAUCGUUGUGUAUAAAUAUGAAACAAGACAGCGUAUUAUUUCAGUGUUUCUUUAUUGAUUACACUUUUUAUUAUACUAAGCAAAGUUAUUUGCAUGGGAGAAUUUGGAAUCAUUUUAUUUCGAACUCAAAGUUUAUCGAUAAAAGCAGUUUAGUUCUAUAGUAAAAGAACAUUUUAAAACGUUUUGCGAAGCGUUUGUGGUUGAAUUUUACCUUAAAUUCAAGCUUAUAUUACGUAUAAUAACAUAGCUAACAUAUAUAUGUUUAGGAAAUUGAUAAUUUUGUAAUUAAAAGUGAUAUUUAUAGGGGAUUUUUCAUUUGUAAAAAUAGUCUUAAAAAAUUAUCGUGUUACCAUGACAACUACUUAAAAUACAUCACGUUCGGAAAAUAAAAUGGUUUUGUCAGCAAGGCGAGGGUUUCUGCAUGCAUGUAUUUUCUAGUAGUAUUAUACUCUGUCUUAAAUGCCAGGUGAAUUUACUUGUCAGAGAGGGAUCGAAAGCUGGCACUCAAUUGGUCAAUCAGACUAUUUGCCUAGUUAUUAAGUUUUCGUUGGUAGGGAUGCAACUAUAUAUACCUGAAAAAUAUAUUAAGGAGAAGUUUGACUUUUCAAGCAGGAAUUCAGUUUAUAUAGGCUACCCCCUUCCUUGGAAUUUCCUAGGAAUUCUCUGCCACGCCACAAGUUGUUUAAGCCCUUGGGCUAAAAAUUAAAAGUUAAUGCCCCACAAACACUCAAGAGUCAAGGCCGUCAUCGAUUGUUCAAAUCAGAAUAAUUAGCGCUAACCGGGCGCUUGGUUAGAAUUUAGCUCGUUUUGGUUUGUGUAUUUCUGCAUGUUCAUUCAUUUCAAAACUUUAUCCAGACAUAUGAUUUCUGAAAAAAAACUUAAAUGAUUAAGCUAACCAGCUUUUGAACAACCGGCCAAAGGAGAUGAAAAAAUAUUUUGAUGUACCUUCUACAACUGCAACUUGAAUCAGUUUAUUUUAAAUGCGGUAAAAAGUGCAUUAGUUUAACAUUGAUCUAUAUAUUAUAGCAUUAUAGUCCUUUUGUCUUGGUCAUAUAAGGUUUUUUAUUUGAUUUUUUUGUCUUUGCAGAUGCAGCACAAUGUCAAAGUUUUAGUAAGAAUUCCAUGAAUGAUUUUUAUGAAUGGUUUAAUGGUUUAAUGAUUAUCAUGAAUGGCUUAAUGAAGUUUUAGAUGAACAUUGAGUAAACUGUACAAUCAUAUUUUUUAAAAGGUCAGUCAACAGAGAAUCAGGAGAAUCGAGAGGAUAAUGUUAUUAAAUUUUAAAGGUAUUGCAUGUCUAUUAAUACUCUAUGUUGCAGUCAAUUGUUUGUUAUUUAUAUAAUCUGUUACUGUUAAUCUGAACAUAUGAUAUAAACCUAUUGAAGUGUCAAAGUCAUGUAUUUCUCUAUUUAGGAAAAUGUCAUAAUUGUGGCCUUUCUGGCCAACAAGACUUCAGUUGCACAAAACGUAUGUGUUUUCUUUUAAUUUAUCUUUUCAAAAAAUGUAACAGAAAGACAUUCAAAGACUAAUAUCCUACCUUGUAUACUACCUAUGGGCUAUAACUAGGUUUAGGGGAGUCACUAGUUAGUUUCUAAUCACCACUGCUUGUUAAUAUAAAUUGGAGUUAAAAUAGUAAAUUUUAUUUCUUUUUCUGCGUUUACAGCUUACAAUCGUGAUCAUGCAAGCAAGUAUAAGUUUAGAAAAUGUUGUGUUUUUUUUGUAUUGUAAUACGACUACUAGUAAUUAAAUUCAGAUUACAUGUAAAAUGCUUUGAUUCUGUCUUGCAGGAAGAAGAUGUUAUCAAUGUGGGAAGCCAGGCCACAUUGCAAGAAAUUGUUAUAAAAAAAGAAUGGGCCUGGCAUGAAUGCAGUUUUAACAAACUACACCAAUUGCACUUUUACUGUGACAACAGGCAAUUUACCCAACGAAAACUAACCCAUGUGUACAUGAUAGUAACUUUAACUUCAGGUUUCAAUUCCUUUAAUUAAUUUUCAUGUGUACAAAUACCAAUCCGACAUGAAUCAGUUGCUACUUAUUACUUAAGACUUAGUCAAACUCAUCUAGGCACAUUGUUUUACACUUCAAAAAGUAACCAGGUUAAAAUUCAUCUGUACAUAUCCUGGUUAGUUUUCAUUGGGUAAAUUGCUUGCAAUAUUGUUACACAGUCAUGCAAUAUUGCACUUAUUCAAAGAAUAAAAUGUUUUAAAAGGGCAAAUCUUGGUUUAAUUAAGCUAGCUUUUAGAAGGAAAUACAGAGCUUUCCAAUUCAAUAUAUGGUGAACAAGCCAUAUUGACUCAGUCCACUUAGUCAAGUACAAUUAUGAUGCAACUCUUCUUUUGGUAGACAUUUAAGUCUAAAGUCUUAUAGAGUGAACUAAUGGUUUGAAUUAUUAAAUUUCAUGUUGCAAAUAUUGGAAACCAUUUGCAUUUAAAAAUAAAAAAAAUAAUUAUAUCAAAACAUGGAAAGCAUAUAAUCAUGUGUAAAUGAAUGGCACUGAACUAAUUCAACUAAAUGCAAUAUACUGUAAGUACAAAUAACUUGGUCAAACUUGUUAUGUGUUACGUUUCUUAAUUAUUUUGGCACAUGAAAGGACAAUACUGUCCAAAACUUCUCUUAUUAAUUAAUUAAUGCAUAAAUGAAACAAUUGCUUGGUUUGAUAUUUUAAGUGAAUAUAGUGCAAUAUUUCCAUACUGUUUAUUUUCCAAUUUAAAUAAAUGUUAUUGUAUUUCUUAUUCAAAUAUUCAUUCAAAUUUUCAAUGAUAUAUAAAUACUUGUG